RNAcentral lists this ribosomal RNA (466 nucleotides) under uncultured bacterium. RNAcentral describes it as "bacterial SSU rRNA". It matches the Rfam family "Bacterial small subunit ribosomal RNA", at positions 330 to 793 of the family's 1533-position model. The record is from RNAcentral.
CCCAGACUCCUACGGGAGGCAGCAGUAAGGAAUAUUGGUCAAUGGGCGAGAGCCUGAACCAGCCAAGUCGCGUGAGGGAAGAAGGCCCUGCGGGUCGCAGACCUCUUUGGACGGGGAGCAAGGCCGCCGACGUGUCGGCGGAAGGAGAGUACCCGUAGAACAAGCAUCGGCUAACUCCGUGCCAGCAGCCGCGGUAAUACGGAGGAUGCGAGCGUUAUCCGGAUUUAUUGGGUUUAAAGGGUGCGUAGGCGGGCUUUUAAGUCAGCGGUAAAAAUUCGGGGCUCAACCCCGUCCGGCCGUUGAAACUGGCGGCCUCGAGUGGGCGAGAAGUAUGCGGAAUGCGUGGUGUAGCGGUGAAAUGCAUAGAUAUCACGCAGAACUCCGAUUGCGAAGGCAGCAUACCGGCGCCCAACUGACGCUGAAGCACGAAAGCGUGGGUAUCGAACAGGAUUAGAUACCCCAGUAC